This 457-nucleotide unclassified non-coding RNA is filed under the name Hevea brasiliensis (rubber tree). Lineage: Eukaryota; Viridiplantae; Streptophyta; Magnoliopsida; Malpighiales; Euphorbiaceae. The record is from RNAcentral.
AGAAAUUUUGCAAGUAAAAAUGCCAACUUUAACGAAGUUAUUCACAAUGGAAGAAGCUUCUGAGCACAACACUAAGGAUGAUUGUUGGGUCGUCAUUGACGGCAAGGUAUAUGAUGUUUCAUCUUAUUUAGACGAACAUCCAGGGGGAGAUGAUGUUCUACUUGGUGUUACAGGACAAGAUGCCACUGAUGAAUUCGAAGAUGCUGGACACAGCAAAAGCGCGAGAGAACUUAUGGAGAAAUUCUUCAUUGGGGAGCUUGAUACAACAUCCUCUUCCAUCCCUGAACUUGAGAUUGUCAAGAAGGCGGGCAAAGAUAUUCCUCAGAAGUUAAUGGAAGUUACUAAGCAAUAUUGGUUCGUUCCAGUAGCAGCCGUUGGCAUCUCUGUGGUGCUUGGCUUCUUGUACACACGCAAGAAGUAAAAUCAGUUCGAUAUUCCGUCUUUAAUGUUAGUAAUA